This 484-nucleotide ribosomal RNA is filed under the name uncultured bacterium. RNAcentral describes it as "partial 16S ribosomal RNA". It matches the Rfam family "Bacterial small subunit ribosomal RNA", at positions 30 to 507 of the family's 1533-position model. The record is from RNAcentral.
AUUGAACGCUGGCGGCAGGCCUAACACAUGCAAGUCGAGCGGAUGAAGGGAGCUUGCUCCUGGAUUCAGCGGCGGACGGGUGAGUAAUGCCUAGGAAUCUGCCUGGUAGUGGGGGAUAACGUCCGGAAACGGGCGCUAAUACCGCAUACGUCCUGAGGGAGAAAGUGGGGGAUCUUCGGACCUCACGCUAUCAGAUGAGCCUAGGUCGGAUUAGCUAGUUGGUGGGGUAAAGGCCUACCAAGGCGACGAUCCGUAACUGGUCUGAGAGGAUGAUCAGUCACACUGGAACUGAGACACGGUCCAGACUCCUACGGGAGGCAGCAGUGGGGAAUAUUGGACAAUGGGCGAAAGCCUGAUCCAGCCAUGCCGCGUGUGUGAAGAAGGUCUUCGGAUUGUAAAGCACUUUAAGUUGGGAGGAAGGGCAGUAAGUUAAUACCUUGCUGUUUUGACGUUACCAACAGGAUAAGCACCGGCUAACCUCGUG